Molecule: ribosomal RNA, 732 nt
Filed under: Salmonella enterica subsp. enterica serovar Kentucky
Lineage: Bacteria; Pseudomonadati; Pseudomonadota; Gammaproteobacteria; Enterobacterales; Enterobacteriaceae
Description: partial 23S ribosomal RNA
Rfam family: Bacterial large subunit ribosomal RNA
Source: RNAcentral
UGGGGUGGGGUGACUGCGUACCUUUUGUAUAAUGGGUCAGCGACUUAUAUUCUGUAGCAAGGUUAACCGUAUAGGGGAGCCGAAGGGAAACCGAGUCUUAACUGGGCGUUAAGUUGCAGGGUAUAGACCCGAAACCCGGUGAUCUAGCCAUGGGCAGGUUGAAGGUUGGGUAACACUAACUGGAGGACCGAACCGACUAAUGUUGAAAAAUUAGCGGAUGACUUGUGGCUGGGGGUGAAAGGCCAAUCAAACCGGGAGAUAGCUGGUUCUCCCCGAAAGCUAUUUAGGUAGCGCCUCGUGAACUCAUCUUCGGGGGUAGAGCACUGUUUCGGCUAGGGGGUCAUCCCGACUUACCAACCCGAUGCAAACUGCGAAUACCGAAGAAUGUUAUCACGGGAGACACACGGCGGGUGCUAACGUCCGUCGUGAAGAGGGAAACAACCCAGACCGCCAGCUAAGGUCCCAAAGUCACAGUUAAGUGGGAAACGAUGUGGGAAGGCUCAGACAGCCAGGAUGUUGGCUUAGAAGCAGCCAUCAUUUAAAGAAAGCGUAAUAGCUCACUGGUCGAGUCGGCCUGCGCGGAAGAUGUAACGGGGCUAAACUGUGCACCGAAGCUGCGGCAGCGACGCUUAUGCGUUGUUGGGUAGGGGAGCGUUCUGUAAGCCUGCGAAGGUGUCCUGUGAGGGAUGCUGGAGGUAUCAGAAGUGCGAAUGCUGACAUAAGUAACGAUAA